GGGGUAGUCUGCUAGUCUGGUUAGGCGGCCACCUUGGGGUGGUUGUGACCCGAGUUCAAAUCUCGGCUACCCCA
Molecule: transfer RNA, 74 nt
Rfam family: tRNA
About the family: Transfer RNA (tRNA) molecules are approximately 80 nucleotides in length. Their secondary structure includes four short double-helical elements and three loops (D, anti-codon, and T loops).